GAAAUGCGAUAAGUAAUGUGAAUUGCAGAAUUCAGUGAAUCAUCGAAUCUUUGGACGCACCUUGCGCUCCUUGGUAUUCCUUGGAGCAUGCCUGUUUGAGUAUCAUGAAAUCUUCAAAGUAAAUCUUUUGUUAACUCAAUUGGUUUCUACUUUGGUAUUGGAGGUCUUUGCAGCUUCACACCUGCUCCUCUUUGUUCAUUAGCUGGAUCUCAGUGUUAUGCUUGGUUCCACUCGGCGUGAUAAGUUAUCUAUCGCUGAGGACACUGUAAAAGGUGGCCAAGGUAAAUGCAGAUGAACCGCUUCUAAUAGUCCAUUGACUUUGACAAUACUUUUAUGAUCUGAUCUCAAAUCAGGUAGGACUACCCGCUGAACUUAAGC
RNAcentral lists this unclassified non-coding RNA (378 nucleotides) under plant metagenome. RNAcentral describes it as "partial contains 5.8S ribosomal RNA, internal transcribed spacer 2, and large subunit ribosomal RNA". The stretch from base 1 to 105 matches the Rfam family "5.8S ribosomal RNA", at positions 50 to 154 of the family's 154-position model. The record is from RNAcentral.